UGCAGGCACUCAAAAUGGUCCAGUGUUUGACAUAUCAACGUAGGAUUUCCUACACUACAGCCUCUAACAAAACUAGGCUGUCCCAGACCCCUGGUAAUAGAAUUGUUUACCUUUAUACCAAGAACGUUGGGAAAGCACCAAAAUCAGCAUGUGGCAUGUGCCCAGGCAGGCUUGGAGGGGUUCGUGCUGUAAGACCUAAAGUUCUUAUGAGAUUAUCCCACACAAAGGAACAUGUCAGCAGGGCCUAUGGUGGUUCCAUCUGUGCUAAAUGUGUUCAUUUAGCACAGAUGUGCUAAAUGUGACAGGAUCAAGCGUGCUUUCCUUAUCGAGGAGCAGAAAGUCAUUGUGAAAGUGUUAAAGGCGCAAGCACAGAGUCAGAAAGCUAAAUAAAAAAUGAAACUUUUUUGAGUAAUAAAAAUGAAAAGACUUGCU
Molecule: RNA transcript, 432 nt
Organism: Sapajus apella (tufted capuchin)
Lineage: Eukaryota; Metazoa; Chordata; Mammalia; Primates; Cebidae
Gene name: 60S ribosomal protein L34 pseudogene
Exons: 1
Source: RefSeq, a predicted model, not a curated record